GACGAACGCUGGCGGCAGGCUUAACACAUGCAAGUCGAGCGCCCACUUCGGUGGGAGCGGCAGACGGGUGAGUAACGCGUGGGAACGUGCCCUUCGGUACGGAACAACAGUUAGAAAUGACUGCUAAUACCGUAUACGACCUCCGGGUGAAAGAUUUAUCGCCGAAGGAUCGGCCCGCGUUAGAUUAGCUAGUUGGUGGGGUAAAGGCCUACCAAGGCGACGAUCUAUAGCUGUUCUGAGAGGAAGAUCAGCCACACUGGGACUGAGACACGGCCCAGACUCCUACGGGAGGCAGCAGUGGGGAAUAUUGGACAAUGGGCGAAAGCCUGAUCCAGCCAUGCCGCGUGGAUGAAGAAGGCCCUAGGGUUGUAAAGUCCUUUCGAUGGUGAAGAUAAUGACGGUAACCAUAGAAGAAGCCCCGGCUAAUUUCGUGCCAGCAGCCGCGGUAAUACGAAAGGGGCUAGCGUUGUUCGGAAUUACUGGGCGUAAAGCGCACGUAGGCGGCUUUGUAAGUUGGGGGUGAAAUCCCGGGGCUCAACCCCGGAACUGCCUCCAAAACUA
This 561-nucleotide ribosomal RNA is filed under the name uncultured bacterium. RNAcentral describes it as "bacterial SSU rRNA". It matches the Rfam family "Bacterial small subunit ribosomal RNA", at positions 28 to 635 of the family's 1533-position model. The record is from RNAcentral.